CGGACGGGUGAGUAACGCGUGAGAAUCUGCCCUCAGGAGGGGGAUAACGGCUGGAAACGGUCGCUAAUACCCCAUAUGCCGAGAGGUGAAACGAAUUUCGCCUGAGGAUGAGCCCGCGUCUGAUUAGCUGGUUGGUGGGGUAAGAGCCUACCAAGGCGACGAUCAGUAGCUGGUCUGAGAGGAUGAUCAGCCACACUGGGACUGAGACACGGCCCAGACUCCUACGGGAGGCAGCAGUGGGGAAUUUUCCGCAAUGGGCGAAAGCCUGACGGAGCAACGCCGCGUGAGGGACGAAGGCCUCUGGGCUGUAAACCUCUUUUCUCAAGGAAGAAGAUCUGACGGUACUUGAGGAAUAAGCCACGGCUAAUUCCGUGCCAGCAGCCGCGGUAAUACGGGAGUGGCAAGCGUUAUCCGGAAUUAUUGGGCGUAAAGCGUCCGCAGGCGGCCUUGUAAGUCUGCUGUUAAAG
Molecule: ribosomal RNA, 467 nt
Filed under: uncultured Cyanobacterium sp.
Lineage: Bacteria; Bacillati; Cyanobacteriota; Cyanophyceae; Chroococcales; Geminocystaceae
Description: bacterial SSU rRNA
Rfam family: Bacterial small subunit ribosomal RNA
Source: RNAcentral